GGGGAGGAAGAGGAGCAGGAGGAUGGAGGGAGAUGCCACCAGCUGCCCUGAAUCCUUGCAGUGCCUCUGCACAAGCUGUGCCCUGCACUGUGGGAGAAGAGGCAUGAAGAGGCUGUUUAAUUUCCAGCCCUGCUACUUAUUGUAGGGCUUUGGGCAUGGCAGAAAGCCUCUGAACUUUAAUUUCCUUCUCUUUAACAUAGGCUUCAGGUGCGUUCCGGUUGUGGCUCAGUAGGUUAAGAGCCUGACAUACUGUCCAUGAGGAUGUGAGUUUGAUCCCUGGCCUCACUCAAUGGAUUAAGGAUCCGGCAUUGCCAUGAGCUGCAGCAGAGGCCGGCAGCUGCGGCUCUGAUUCAGUCCCUAGCCUGGGAACUUCCAUAUGCUGCAGGUGGGCCAAGAAAAGAAGAGAAAAGGAAAGGAAAGGAAAUGGGCACCGAGGUUGUAUGUACCCCCAGGGUUGUCAUAUCGUUUAGAUGAGUUGACCCGAGGAGAUGGCACCAGAGUUUUGGUGCAGUCAGGUGCCUCUCACAGGGCUUAACCCCUAGGGAGCUCUUUCCUUGUCUGCAACUCCCUGAAGGCUGGGCCUAUGUCUUGUCACGAUGGGAUCCGGGCACAUGCCUGGCACGCUAUAGGCGGCCAGUCAGUGCUGCUGAGUGAGCGGUUCCAUGAAGGGCUGGAACCCUAAACAGCCUCUUCAUGCCUCUUCUCCCACAGUGAAAUGUGUGAGUCAAAGUGGGAAAUGAAAAGCAAAGGGUCAGGGCAGGCAGGGGACCCCACUCUGCCACUUUCCCUCCAGAAUAUCCCCACCCAACCACAACCACAGGUCACUCCUCUGGCCUUUAUUCUAGAGCAGGGCUUAGGCGGGGUAUGCUUGCUGACCAGAUGGGGACCAUAUUUCCCCAGUGAAAUCACACAUAGGUCCUACUAUAUAGCACAGGGAACUAUAUCCAGUCUCUUGGGAUGGACCAUGACGGAGUAUAGGAAAGGGAAUGCAUGGAAAGAUCGAUCGAUCGAUUGAUAGAUAGAGAUGUAUAUGCCUGGGUCACUUUGCUGUACAGCGGAAAUUGGCACAACAUUGCAAAUCAACUAUAAUUUUAAAAAUUGGCACAACAUUGCCAAUCAACUAUACUUUAAUUUAAAACAUCUAAAAAAAAAAUACACAUAUAUAUAGGGGUUCCCAGGCUAGGGGUCAAAUUGGAGCUGUAGCUGGUGGCCUACACCACAGCCACAGCAAUGCUGGAACCAAGCCACAUCUGUGACCUACACCACGGUUCACAGCCACGCUGGAUCCUUAACCCACUGAAUGAGGGCAGGGAUCAAACCUGUGUCUUCAUGGAUACUAGUCGGGCUCAUUAACCGCUGAGCUACGAAAGGAACUCCUGUCUCAUGAUUUCAAGAGAGGAAACUCUCUCCCUGACUCCCCAUCAGUGCUGCUGUAAAUGCCCUCCCCACCUGCUACAGGAAUUCCACUGGGAGAAGGCACAGCUUCUCACCUUCUUCUCAGAGCUAAAUCAUUAGAGAAGAAACCCAGGAAUUGGAGAAAAUUCUAGAAGGCAGUUGGGGGAGUUUCCUUGUGGCUCAGUGGGUUAAGGUCCUGCAUUGUACUGCUGUAGCUCUGGUUACAGUUGCGGUGCAGGUUCCAUCCCUGGCCUGGGAACAUCCACAUGCCAUAUAUGUAGCCAAAAAAAAAAAUUUAUUUGUAUAAUAUAUAUGUAUAUAUAUGUAAAAUACACAUAUGGCAAUUGGUAUGAACUCAGGGAUGACAAAGGCCUGAGUUUGAGGCCCAGUUCUGCCCCUCACUCAUGAAUAUUUUAAGCUCCUUGAACCUUAGAUUCCUCACCUAUAAAACAGGGGUAGCAAUUGUAACCAUGCAGGAUGAUUAUGCAGAAUCAAAGGAAGAGCAUGGGAGUAACCGAGAAGGAAAAGCUCUUCUUUAUAGAAGUCUGACAACUGAAAAAUGGACGGGAUGAUGGAAUUAAAAAAAUCACUAUUCGCAGAGCUCCCCCUGUGGCGCAGCCAGUUAAGGAUCUGCCAUUGUCUCUGUAGCAGCUCGGGUUUGAUCCCCAGCCUGGCAUGGUGGGUUAAGGAUCUGGUGUUGCUGCAGCUGCGACUCAGAUUUGAUUCCUGGCCCUGCAACUUCUAUAUGCUGCAGGUGCAGCCAAAAAAAAAAAAAAAUUAUCAUUUGCCGUUGAUUUGGGCAAGGAUCACUAAUGGACGCUGAAACUAUUGGGUAAAAAGUUGCUGGACAACAGGAUGGUCCCCUAGUCUCAAAGCACCACCCCACAGGUGACUCAUGAAUGACAGAGGGGGAAAGGUAACUUUAUGCAGGAGAGAUCUGGGGGAAACCACUUUAACCAAGUGAUGAAAUUCAACAUCUCUAGUCAUGCUGGCAAACCGUGGCUCCUGACCGCAUGCACGGGGAAGGGCCCACCACCAAGUAGACCUCUUGCCAAAAUGUUUCACCAGACUCUAAUCCUAAGGAAACAAUCAGACAAAUCUCAGUUGAAAGACAUUCUAUAAGACAUCCAGCUUGAACACUUCAAAAUAUCGAUGUUGGGAAAGCAAAGAAGGCAGGGAGGCUAUUGUAGGUUGGAGGGGGCUGCACAGACAUGGCAGCAGAACAUAGUGCCUGAUUCUUGAGUGGAUCCUGGAUCAGGGAAAGAAACUAUGGAAGACGUUUGAGGAACAACUGGGCAAGUUCGAAUAGGGAGCGUGUCGUAGGUAAUAUUGCGUCAAUGUCAAAUCUCUCAGCUGUCAUGAUGACCUUGUGAUUCUUUUGGAGAAUGUUCUUCUUCUUAGGAGAUUAGUGAUAAAGUCUUUAAAUGUUCUAGCAAAUGGAUCAGCAAAAUAUACAUCUAUUCCUCUCUCUCUCCAUGUAUAUACAUAUAUACAUACAUACAUAAACACACAUAUAUGCAAAUGUGGCUAAAUGCUUUUAUUUUCUUCUUAGAGCUGCACCCGUGGCAUAUGGAAGUUCCCAGGCUAGGGGUCGAAUCAGAGCAGCAGCCUCUGUCGGCCUACACCACAGCCACAGCAACAUGGGAUCUGAGUCACAUCUGCGACCUACACCUCAGCUCACGGCAACGCUGGAUCCUCAACCCACUGAGCGGUGCCAGGGAUCGAACCCAUGUCCUCAAGGAUAUUAGUCGGGUUCGUUGCCACUGAGCCACCAUGGGAACUCCCUAAAUGCUUUUAGAAGUGGGGUUAGCACAGGCUAAGUAUCCACCUAGUGAUUAUCUCAGCAGGCCCCGAUCCCCAGGGAGAGUGGUGGCACCAAGCAGCUGAGGAUGGAGGGGCCUCUCUGGAAGUGGUGAAUGGGUAGGAGCAGGGAAAGGCUGGUUGGGGAUGGGGGAGUGGCUGAAGGCAGUGUAGGGUAGAAAGAACAUAGGGUUCGGAGGCUAAGACCUGGGUCUGCAGUGAGUUACUUAGCCAUUUUGUGCUUUAGUGUCCCUGUCUGUAAAAGGGGGAGGAAGGGUGCCUGCUGCUGUGUGAGAGCACUUCUGUCACUGCUCGGAACCAGCCGCUCCCUGGGCCCAGGAACACAGGGGAGAAGGAACAUGCAGGUGGAAGUGCAGGUGCCCUCGUGGUUGGAAUAUAGGUCUCCUUUUGCCUCCUUCCCUGGGGACCCUGUGUGGCUCCCAGGAGGGCUGGCUGAAGAGUCAGGGCAGGGCAGGGACAAGCCUUCUCUACUGCCCUUUGCUCCAAAUGGAGCCUUCUCCCCCAUCAGACCCCCAGGAGCAGUGGCUUGUUGAGGACACGCAUUUGCUCUUUCCAAAGCAUCCCGGGAAGGCAGUGGCCAGAGGAGGGACUCUAGGGCUGAUGCAAAAAUGAUGGAAACUGGAGUUCCUGACGUGGUGCAGUGGGUUAAGAAUCUGACAGCAGCAGCAAUCUGCUGCAGAGGCUCAGGUUUGAUGCAGUGGGUUUAAGGACCUGGCAUUGCCACAGCUGUGGCUCGGAUUCAAUCCCUGGCCGCGGGAACUUCCAUGUGCCGUGGGUGCAGUCUUAAAAAAAAGGAGGCAAGAGACAAAAAAAAAAAAAAAGAAAAAAAAAAAGAAAAG
RNAcentral lists this long non-coding RNA (4055 nucleotides) under Sus scrofa (pig). Its description in RNAcentral is "lncRNA (ENSSSCG00035068354.1)". The record is from RNAcentral. Lineage: Eukaryota; Metazoa; Chordata; Mammalia; Artiodactyla; Suidae.